UACGAAGGGGGCUAGCGUUGCUCGGAAUGACUGGGCGUAAAGGGCGCGUAGGCGGAGUGCUUUGUCGGGCGUGAAAUUCCAGGGCUCAACCUUGGGGCUGCGUUCGAGACGGGUAUUCUUGAGUUCGGAAGAGGGUCGUGGAAUUCCCAGUGUAGAGGUGAAAUUCGUAGAUAUUGGGAAGAACACCGGUGGCGAAGGCGGCGACCUGGUCCGAUACUGACGCUGAGGCGCGAAAGCGUGGGGAGCAAACAGG
This 253-nucleotide ribosomal RNA is filed under the name uncultured bacterium. RNAcentral's name for it is "partial 16S ribosomal RNA". It matches the Rfam family "Bacterial small subunit ribosomal RNA", at positions 524 to 776 of the family's 1533-position model. The record is from RNAcentral.